This is a small nucleolar RNA of Halostagnicola sp. A56, 73 nucleotides long. The record is from Rfam. Lineage: Archaea; Methanobacteriati; Methanobacteriota; Halobacteria; Halobacteriales; Natrialbaceae.
GGCCGAUGACGAUGGGUCCGCUCCGAACCGGUCUCGGCAACCGGUCGUGACGAGCCCUAUGAGUGCCGAGGCC